CUUUAAUGCCAAAUUAAAAAAGAGAGAAAAGGAGAGAAUAUCUAUUAAAUCAGAAGAACAAAAAAAAUUCUACACAACUGAUUGUUUAAACAAGAAACUUGGAUUAAAAGUUGAGAUCAUUUGAUAGAACCAAACCUGUGGCUUCCCCUGCCAGCU
Molecule: long non-coding RNA, 156 nt
Organism: Hibiscus syriacus
Lineage: Eukaryota; Viridiplantae; Streptophyta; Magnoliopsida; Malvales; Malvaceae
Exons: 3
Source: RefSeq, a predicted model, not a curated record